AAAUUGAGUUUUUUGUGAUCACUUUGCUGUUGUUGUUGUUCUUGUUGUUGUUGUUCUUGUUUUCGUCGUCGCCCAGUGCUUUGGAUACCACGUACACGCGUCGUUCAAGAUUCAAGCUCGCAAGUCCCUUGCUGAAACGGUCAUUAAGAUUGUAAAAGACGUCGUCGCCGAGGCUCGAGCGGGGGGUCGGCCGGCGCUCGAAGGAGACGCACCCCGCCAGGCCAACGAAAG
This is a long non-coding RNA of Copidosoma floridanum, 231 nucleotides long. The record is from RefSeq and is a predicted model, not a curated record. Lineage: Eukaryota; Metazoa; Arthropoda; Insecta; Hymenoptera; Encyrtidae.